CGGAAGAGUUGCAAGACUCGCCAACCCUUUGUGAACUUACCUGAACCGUUGCUUCGGCGGGCAGCCCCAGGGCGGGGCCGCCGCCUCCCGCGUUAGGGAGGUGCCCGCCGGAAGCCCCAACACCAACUCUGUUCUGUGUCUUCUGAGUAACAAAACAAAAAUGAAUCA
RNAcentral lists this unclassified non-coding RNA (168 nucleotides) under uncultured fungus. RNAcentral describes it as "sequence contains ITS1, 5.8S rRNA gene". The record is from RNAcentral. Lineage: Eukaryota; Fungi.